UACAGAGGUCCCAAGCGUUGUUCGGAUUCAUUGGGCGUAAAGGGUGCGUAGGCGGCGCGGUAAGUCGGGUGUGAAAUUUCGAGGCUUAACUUCGAAACUGCAUUCGAUACUGCCGUGCUUGAGGACUGGAGAGGAGACUGGAAUUUACGGUGUAGCGGUGAAAUGCGUAGAUAUCGUAAGGAAGACCAGUGGCGAAGGCGGGUCUCUGGACAGUUCCUGACGCUGAGGCACGAAGGUCAGGGGAGCAAACGGG
RNAcentral lists this ribosomal RNA (253 nucleotides) under uncultured bacterium. RNAcentral's name for it is "partial 16S ribosomal RNA". It matches the Rfam family "Bacterial small subunit ribosomal RNA", at positions 524 to 776 of the family's 1533-position model. The record is from RNAcentral.